RNAcentral lists this ribosomal RNA (424 nucleotides) under uncultured Acetivibrio sp. RNAcentral's name for it is "bacterial SSU rRNA". It matches the Rfam family "Bacterial small subunit ribosomal RNA", at positions 355 to 794 of the family's 1533-position model. Lineage: Bacteria; Bacillati; Bacillota; Clostridia; Acetivibrionales; Acetivibrionaceae. The record is from RNAcentral.
UCGGGAAUAUUGCGGCAAUGGAGGAAACUCUGACGCAGUGACGCCGCGUAUAGGAAGAAGGUUUUCGGAUUGUAAACUAUUGUCGUUAGGGAAGAGAAAGGACAGUACCUAAGGAGGAAGCUCCGGCUAACUACGUGCCAGCAGCCGCGGUAAUACGUAGGGAGCGAGCGUUAUCCGGAAUUAUUGGGUGUAAAGGGUGCGUAGACGGGAAGAUAAGUUAGUUGUGAAAUCCCUCGGCUUAACUGAGGAACUGCAACUAAAACUGUUUUUCUUGAGUGCAGGAGAGGUAAGUGGAAUUCCUAGUGUAGCGGUGAAAUGCGUAGAUAUUAGGAGGAACACCAGUGGCGAAGGCGACUUACUGGACUGUAACUGACGUUGAGGCACGAAAGUGUGGGGAGCAAACAGGAUUAGAUACCCUGGUAGU